ACUGCUCAGUAACACGUGGAUAACCUGCCCUAAGGAAGGGGAUAACCUCGGGAAACUGAGGAUAAUACCCUAUAGGUUACAGACGCUGGAAUGCCCUGUAACCGAAAGUUCCGGCGCCUUAGGAUGGAUCUGCGGCCGAUUAGGUUGUUGUUGGGGUAACGGCCCAACAAGCCGAUAAUCGGUACGGGUUGUGGGAGCAAGAGCCCGGAGUUGGAUUCUGAGACAUGAAUCAGGCCCUACGGGGCGCAGCAGGCGCGAAAACUUUACAAUGCGGGAAACCGUGAUAAGGGAACCCCGAGUGCCUGUAUAUGCAGGCUGUCCAGGUGUCUAAAAAACACCUGAAGAAAGGGCCGGGCAAGACCGGUGCCAGCCGCCGCGGUAAUACCGGCGGCUCGAGUGGUGGCCACUUUUAUUGGGCUUAAAGCGUUCGUAGCUGGGUUGUUAAGUCUCUUGGGAAAUCUGACGGCUCAACCGUCAGGCGUCCAAGGGAUACUGGCAAUCUUGGAACCGGGAGAGGUGAGGGGUACUUCGGGGGUAGGAGUGAAAUCCUGUAAUCCUCGAGGGACCACCUGUGGCGAAGGCGCCUCACCAGAACGGCUUCGACAGUGAGGGACGAAAGCUGGGGGAGCAAACCGGAUUAGAUACCCGGGUAGUCCCAGCCGUAAACGAUGCGCGUUAGGUGUAUCGGUGACCACGAGUCACCGAGGUGCCGAAGGGAAACCGUGAAACGUGCCGCCUGGGAAGUACGGUCGCAAGGCUGAAACUUAAAGGAAUUGGCGGGGGAGCAC
RNAcentral lists this ribosomal RNA (788 nucleotides) under Methanoculleus sp. enrichment culture clone HA_40. Its description in RNAcentral is "bacterial SSU rRNA". It matches the Rfam family "Archaeal small subunit ribosomal RNA", at positions 85 to 879 of the family's 1478-position model. The record is from RNAcentral. Lineage: Archaea; Methanobacteriati; Methanobacteriota; Methanomicrobia; Methanomicrobiales; Methanomicrobiaceae.